AUACGUAGGGGGCGAGCGUUGUCCGGAUUUACUGGGUGUAAAGGGCGUGUAGGCGGAGAUGCAAGUCAGGAGUGAAAUCUAGGGGCUCAACCCCUAAACUGCUUUUGAAACUGUAUCCCUUGAGUAUCGGAGAGGCAGGCGGAAUUCCUAGUGUAGCGGGGAAAUGCGUAGAUAUUAGGAGGAACACCAGUGGCGAAGGCGGCCCGCGGGACGACAACUGACGCUGAGGCGCGAAAGCGUGGGGAGCAAACAGGAUUAGAUACCCUUGUAGUCCACGCUGUAAACGAUGAUGACUAGGUGUGGGGGGACUGAACCCUUCCGUGCCGCAGUUAACACAAUAAGUCAUCCACCUGGGGAGUACGGCCGCAAGGUUGAAACUCAAGGGAAUUGACGGG
Molecule: ribosomal RNA, 395 nt
Filed under: uncultured bacterium
Lineage: Bacteria
Description: partial 16S ribosomal RNA
Rfam family: Bacterial small subunit ribosomal RNA
Source: RNAcentral